RNAcentral lists this long non-coding RNA (2106 nucleotides) under Oncorhynchus mykiss (rainbow trout). RNAcentral describes it as "lncRNA (ENSOMYG00000067884.1)". The record is from RNAcentral. Lineage: Eukaryota; Metazoa; Chordata; Actinopteri; Salmoniformes; Salmonidae.
AUGAACCACAGCAGAAACGUUGAUACGGCGGUAUGGAGCCAGGAUGCUCUGAUGUCUACCAACGUGAGCCUUACAAAUGACAGCAAGCGAAAGAAAAAGAAGAGAACGCACAAAACAAAAGAUAAAAAGAAGAGUGGUUCGACGAGAAGAGGACCGAGCUCGCCUUCAAACUCCGAUGAUGCAGCAGCAGAUAAACUCACCCACACUGAGCAGCAACAGGUCGUCAAAGGCUCCUCCACACAGUCCAAACCCACCCUGAAGGGCUCCAACAGCAAAAAGACCAAGGCCAGAAGUCUGACCAGCCUCCGCAACAAUAAAUCCCAGCGAGAGGCAAUGAAACACGAGGAAACGUUGACAGGGCCAGACGCUGGUACCCACCAAGCCCCACUGUCAUGGGACCAGGCUGGCCAGAACGACCCAGCCAGGGAGAGCCUGAGGUGGGAUGGAGUUCUGGAGGAUCCGGUGGCCGAGGCAGAGAGGAUAGAGGUGUACAAGGCCAACCGGAGGAAACGGUACCUGGCCUCACAGCAGGGGGUGAUGGACUACUUGGGCUUGUUCAAGGGACACUUGGAGAGCAGUGGUGCCAUUACACACAAUAUCUAGGUGGGGCUGUUUUCACAUUAAUAAAUCUAUAGGUUUUAUGUGCAGCACCUUCUCUAUCCUGCAGAUGGCAUAGCAGUCUCAAUCUGAGAUGGUGGAACAUUGUAAUUGCAUCUUUACUCAACUAGUGGCAAUUUAAAAAAGGCAUAUCCCUAAUUGAUAACCAAAAGAUAAAAUCCUGAUAAGACUAUUUUGAAUUUGCUUAUGGCAUUGAAGUACAUAUCAAAUAAUUGUAACACUUCUCAAAUCUGAUAUAAAACAGUUGGUCUUUAUUUCAAACAAACACUAUAAAAACAGAGCUUUAAAAGCGAAAUCAUUUUACUUCAAUAAGGCCCUUUGGGUAUCUCAAGACAGUUCAGGUCCUCUAGAUGUGUAUCCUUGUAGGACCUUGAGGGAAGUUACCUGUGUUUGGUAGCCUAAUAGUAAUCUAUUAGGCUACCAAAAGGAGUUUAUUAGCAUCAAAUAAAUGCAUAACUAAAUGAAACCUCUGGAAGCAACCAGAAGAGGAUAGGCAAAGAUUAUGGACAGUCCAUAAGGUGUUAGUAAGAACAAGACUUCACUAUUAGGAAAAUACAAAAACUUUAUAACUGAAAACAAUAAUGACACAUUUGAUAAUCUCUCACUACUCAUUACCAACUAACACAAACUUCUUCAAUUCACAAUGGUCUGUGGGAAGAAAAAUGUCCCAACUUUCAACACAGAACUUGCAACUCUUUUACACAAUAUGAAAAAAGCUGUGGCUUUCUGCUCCAUGACCAUACUUACAGUAGACAAUGUUGGUUUAGGCAAGACUUAGAUGGGGUUUGGUGUUACACCAGGAUCAUACAUCUCUAUACAUGGCUCGGUGUUACACUAUCCAGGAAUAUAUAUUCUGCUUGUGGUAAGUAAUGUUGUGCAACAAAUACACCAUAAUACCAUGAUUUGACAAGACAUUUUGAAGCCCAGUCAUAGACAGUAAUUUGACAACUCCCCAGGUCUACAAAUGUAAAUACUUACAAAAAUCACAUGGAAACUCCACUAUUGCCUUAGAAUCUUAUAUUGUUGGAUCAUUGUUCAAUGAGCUCCACUGCAAUGGUUAGGCCUAAACACAGAAUGUUGACAGUGAUGGUCCAGACUACACUUCCCUAACAAUCCUUCACUUCCAAAUCUGGUUUAUAAGUUCCUCCAUGGUGAUAGUAUACAGUACACCAUCACCUGUCUAAGUCCACAGUUCAACACUUGGUUAAAAUGAAUCCAACUUUGAAUACCAGAGAACUCUUUACUAGCUACUAAUGGAUCAACACUUUGGUAGAUGGCAGCCUCACUCAGAUGUCCCUGCUAUUUGUUUGAUACUCCAGAUCUAGAGAUAUGGCUUCCAUCUUCUGCCCUCCUGGAGCCUGGAAAGUAUCGUAGCCCACAUUUGAGUACCAAUCUAAACUAAUGGACUGUGUAACCUGGGUCCAUGUGUGGCGUCGGCCUGGUGGAUGGUUGGGCCCCACAGGGCCCAGGGACCUCUCCCUCAGGCCG